Molecule: transfer RNA, 64 nt
Filed under: Elateroidea sp. BMNH 1274729
Lineage: Eukaryota; Metazoa; Arthropoda; Insecta; Coleoptera
Description: tRNA-Leu
Source: RNAcentral
AUUACUUUGGCAGAUUUAAGUGCUAUGGAUUUAGAAUCCAUAUAUGUAAUUUUUACAGGUAAUA